Molecule: long non-coding RNA, 654 nt
Organism: Panicum virgatum (switchgrass)
Lineage: Eukaryota; Viridiplantae; Streptophyta; Magnoliopsida; Poales; Poaceae
Exons: 2
Source: RefSeq, a predicted model, not a curated record
UCCCGACCAGCCCAGCACAUUUUGACGAACAGCCCCCCGCGCUCCACUCGAAGCAUUUCGCAGGAAACACCCUAUUCUAUGGACUAUAUGCGCAAAAGCCCUGCCGUGUCUUCUUCUCCACACCUCUCCCUGGUUCUGUUCUGUUGGCUUGUUCGCCCCCAAAACUCAAACCAUGUCGAGCUAGGGUUUUACAUGAGGCAACAGCUCCGCAGCAGCUCCAAUCCUCCACUCGAAAUACCCUUCUGUUGAAGAUUGUGGGUCAGCACGGGGACGACGGGUGGCCGGAGGGACUUGGGACAGCAACGGUGGCGACUCCGGCGGCGGCGGCGACUCCGGCGGCGGCUUCAGUGCCACUAAGCUCACGAUUGAUGCCUCCCCAAUAUUGAUUUGCUACCAGGUUUGCUUCACGAGUGGCUUCAUCAUCCUAGGUCCCUUAAUGUGCACCCAACAUUCUCAAAACCUCCAAGGCCAACACGAAGGAAACGAUAUGCAUCUGAAGUGCCAAUACUAGCCCUAUGAAAAUUGAACAAUGUAAUCUUGACCUUCUCGCCAACUUCUUUAUUUGAUCUUAUGAGAUGCUGCUUAUUAGGUGAGACAAGCGCAUGUGUAUGCUCUUCCACAAAAGUGGUUAUGAUGUAUUUAUUUUCCUUUGUC